GAAAGUAAAAAAGGGCGCAUGGCGGAUGCCUUGGCUCUCGGAGGCGAUGAAGGACGUGAUAAGCUGCGAUAAGCUUCGGGUAGGUGCAAAUAACCUUUGAUCCGAAGAUUUCCGAAUGGGACAACCCGACAUUCUGAAGGAAUGUCAUCCUGCUCUGCAGGAGGCUAACGCAGGGAACUGAAACAUCUUAGUACCUGCAGGAAAAGAAAAUAAACAAUGAUUCCCCCAGUAGUGGCGAGCGAACGGGGAACAGCCCAAACCAUCCAUGUUACGGCAUGGGUGGGGUUGUAGGACUACGCCGUUGCAUGAAGACAUCAGAGAAGAACUUUCUGGAAAGAAAGACCAUAGAGCAUGACAGUUGCGUAUUCGAAUGUUGUCGAAGCAUAGUAGUAUCCUGAGUAGCGCGGAGCACGAGGAAUUCUGCGUGAAUCUGCCGGGACCAUCCGGUAAGGCUAAAUACUCCCGAGAGACCGAUAGCGAACCAGUACCGUGAGGGAAAGGUGAAAAGCACUUCGAACAGAAGAGUGAAAUAGUUCCUGAAACCGUGCGCCUACAAGCGGUCGGAGCUCGUUAAUGAGUGACGGCGUGCCUUUUGCAUAAUGAACCUACGAGUUGCCUUUGCCGGCAAGGUUAAGUGUGACGACACACGUAUCCGAAGCGAAAGCGAGUCUGAAGAGGGCGUAUAGUCGGCAGUGGCAGACGCGAAACCAAGUGAUCUACCCUUGGCCAGGUUGAAGGCUGGGUAACACCAGCUGGAGGACCGCACCAAUAAGCGUUGAAAAGCUUCUGGAUGAGCUGAGGGUAGGGGUGAAAGGCUAAUCAAACUUGGAGAUAGCUCGUACUCCCCGAAAUGCAUUUAGGUGCAGCCUUGAGAGUUACUAAUGUGAGGUAGAGCGACUGAUAAGAUGCGAGGGCUUCACCGCCUAUCAAGUCUUGACAAACUCCGAAUGCGCAUCAGUUCUACCGCAGGAGUGAGGGCAUGGGUGCUAAGGUCCGUGCCCGAGAGGAGAAGAAUCCGGACCACCUGCUAAGGUCCCGAAAUGACAGCUAAGUUAAACUAACGAAGUCUGACUGCUAAGACAGCUAGGAUGUUGGCUUGGAAGCAGCCAUUCAUUUAAAGAGUGCGUAACAGCUCACUAGUCGAGGAGUCGGGCGUGGAUAAUAAUCGGGUAUGAAGUUGUCUACCGAAGCAGUGGGAUCAUUUAUAUGAUCGGUAGGGGAGCAUUCCAGUCGGCGUCGAAGGCGUACCGUGAGGUAUUCUGGAGCGUCUGGAAAAGCAAAUGUAGGUAUAAGUAACGAUAAAGGGGGCGGGAAACCCCCUCGCCGAAAGACUAAGGUUUCCUGAUCAACGCUAAUCGGAUCAGGGUCAGUCGGGUCCUAAGGCUCAGCCGAACGGCGAUGCCGAUGGCAGAAACGGUUAAUAUUCCGUUACUACCUUCAGGAGUGACGUGGAGACGCAGUAGUGACAGUGCCGCCAUCUGACGGAAUAGAUGGUUGAAGGGUGUAGGAGUCGAUCAUGGCAGGCAAAUCCACCAUGAGAUCCGAACCUGAUAGUAUGCCGCGUCCUUCGGGACAAGGCAAUAGUGCGCGUAAGCAUGCUGCCGAGAAAAUCCGCUAAACUUAAUCCUGCAGGUACCCGUACCGCAAACGGACACACGUAGUCGGGAUGAAUAUUCUAAGGCGCUUGAGUGAUUCACGGUUAAGGAACUAGGCAAACUGACCCUGUAACUUCGGGAUAAAGGGUCCCUACCCUUUUAUGGGAGGGCGCAGAGAAUCGGUCCAGGCAACUGUUUAACAAAAACACAGGGCUGUGCCAAAUCGAAAGAUCCAGUAUACAGCCUGACACCUGCCCGGUGCUGGAAGGUUAAGAGGAGAUGUCAUCAAUAAGAGAAGCGUUGAAUUGAAGCCCCAGUAAACGGCGGCCGUAACUAUAACGGUCCUAAGGUAGCGAAAUUCCUUGUCGGGU
RNAcentral lists this ribosomal RNA (1966 nucleotides) under human gut metagenome. RNAcentral's name for it is "bacterial LSU rRNA". It matches the Rfam family "Bacterial large subunit ribosomal RNA", at positions 1 to 1977 of the family's 2925-position model. The record is from RNAcentral.